Molecule: long non-coding RNA, 974 nt
Organism: Labeo rohita (rohu)
Lineage: Eukaryota; Metazoa; Chordata; Actinopteri; Cypriniformes; Cyprinidae
Exons: 7
Source: RefSeq, a predicted model, not a curated record
GGGGAUUCUGUGGAAUCAGAUUUUCAAUUAAUAUUUUGUGCCCCUUAGGAGAGAAAGAUGGUGCAAGCAAGUAAAAAUGAUUUUCAGCUUGCUCUUCAAAAAGCUGACAAAACUGAAGUUCAGUGGGGGUCUGACAUCACUGUACCAUGUCACCUGUCACCUGAAAUCAGUGCUGUCAACAUGGAGAUCAGGUGGUUUAAGGAGACAGACUGUGUGUGUCUCUAUAAGAACAGACAGAUGUUUGAGGGCAGGGGCUACAAGGGCAGAGUGAGUCUGUUCACUGAGGAGCUGGAGAACGGAAAGACUUCAGACAGCCAGAUGUGGGAGAUUACCUGUGUCAGAUCACCAGUACGGACAUAACAGAAGAGAUAACAGUAAGAGUAGGAUUAUUACAGGGUGGCUUUUGGAACAGAGACGCACUAAACAGCAGCAGCAGCAGGAUCAGGAGCAGAAGCAGAAGCAGCAGCAGCAGCAACAGCAGCAGCAGCAGUAGCAGUAGCAGUAGCACUAACAGCAGCAGUAACAGGAAUAGGAGCAGUAGCAGCAACAGGAGCAGGAACAGUAGCAGCAACAGUAGCAGUAGCAGUAGCAGCAGCAGCAGUAGCAGUAGCAGCAGCAGCAGCAGAUUUCUUCAUGCCAGAAAUCAGAAAAAUACUGACAAUCAAUAAGAUACACAAAACUUGGAGUAAAGAAGAGAGAAAGAAAAUGAAAGAAUCUUCUCUUUUGGCAGCAAGAAGAAACAGCAAACAAUUCGAUCCUCCAGAGAUGUGUGAAAAUCUGUCACACAAGCAAAAGUGAAGAUGUGAAACAACACUCAAUUCUUCCAAUCAGAUGUGUCUCAAUCUGACACAGAAACACUGAGGAGCCAGAAGAAAGGCCAAACCCUGCAUAGAGAGGCUCUGGGAAUGUGGAGUGGAAAGUGUGUAAGUGUGUCAGUCUGUUUUUGUCAGAGACGCUGCAAAAGGACAGAGUGC